AUGGGCUUCCACAUCAGCCCAGCAGUUAACUCUCUGACGGAUGAAAACGAUGGGGAAACAAUCGGAGAAGUUAGACAAAAUCAGAAUUCUGAAAACAGAGCUGUCUCCUCAGGACCUAGUUUACUAACUGUCUUCCUGGGAGUGGUGUGCAUUGCAGCCCUGAUGCUGCCUACAAUGGGGGAUGUGGAAUCGCUGGUGCCUCUCUACCUCCACUUAAGUGUGAAUCAAAAAUUAGUGGCUGCUUAUAUCUUAGGUCUUAUCACAAUGGCCAUACUUAGAACAUGAGCAAGGAUUUCAGUUGACUUCUGAAGUAAAUCUGUCUUGAAAAUAUGAAUGUGGACUGCCUUUUAUCUCUAUUUCACUCCAUUAACAUGCUACAAACUAUUGAAUGAUUUCAAGUAAUUGCAAAUGUAUAAUAUAUAUUUUAAAUUAUAAUUUAAUUUGAAGGACUGCAGAACAUUAUUUUACAGACAGCAAGGAUGCUUCUGAGUGACACCUAGGAAAUUAUUUGAAGAAAUUCUUUUAUACCUAUACCUGUUGUACAAGAGACUUUAAAACAUUUGUUAUUUGCUCACCUUUUUUUCCAAAUCACUUUGAUUGCUAGGGGUCAUGUAUGCUUCAAAGUUACAGGACUAAAAGAGCAAACUGACCGUCCUAAAACUAAAAUGACAUUUAUUCCCUAGCUACAAACAUCAGCGUUAUUAUGUUAAUUAUACCUUGCCCUCUAUCAUUAUAAGCGGUUGCCAUGGUGUGUCUAAAAAUAAGUGUUUUACCAUUAAUGUGUAGAGGGCAAACAAAGCAUAAAGUACUAAGGGAUCAUGCUUAUUCUAGGGUCUCACAGAAGACAGGACAUAUUAAUCUUGUGAAUUACAGAAUGGGUUGUGGUCCAGACACCAAGAAUCAUAGGGGUUUUUUAAAAAAAAAAACCUAAUGGAAGUAGGGUGACCUCUCUCUUUGGUCUAAGAGUUCUAAAGGAAGGUAGGCAUCUGUUUAAUUAGUUGGUUCACCCUGGCUUUACCUCUGGUUAAUGCUUUGUGUUAAAAGGAAGGAAAAAUCACUUGAUCUUUUCUUCCAAGCCCCUUCCCCGCCUGACUUGCCCAGACUGGGAUUACCAGAUACCAGGUGAUUUAUGUGGAGAUGAUUUUUCACCUUUAAACUCUAAGCCAAGUGUAGGAAACUCUUCAUAGCUGUGUCUAUUUUAUAUCAGUCACUGAGACUUUUUUUUAAGUUUUUAUUUAUUAUUAAGACAACUUUGCCAAAAAAAUCCCCUAAGCACAACUAUUUACAUUUCUUUAUAGCCUCUUUUGAUCUCUAACACAUAUAUGCAGUUUUAACUGUUAUUGUCAUAGUAACUGAUCUUUUGUCUAAGGAUUUUUACCUGAAAGCACAAUGCAUUAAGAGUCUCUUGAAAAUCAUCUUUCAGAUCUUUUUACAGAAUGAACUUAUGCACUGCUACAAACACAAAUGUAUGCCUGAGGUUGGUUUUUGCAGAAAAUAGUCNUAUAUCAGUCACUGAGACUUUUUUUUAAGUUUUAUUUAUUAUUAAGACAACUUUGCCAAAAAAAUCCCCUAAGCACAACUAUUUACAUUUCUUUAUAGCCUCUUUUGAUCUCUAACACAUAUAUGCAGUUUUAACUGUUAUUGUCAUAGUAACUGAUCUUUUGUCUAAGGAUUUUACCUGAAAGCACAAUGCAUUAAGAGUCUCUUGAAAAUCAUCUUUCAGAUCUUUUACAGAAUGAACUUAUGCACUGCUACAAACACAAAUGUAUGCCUGAGGUUGGUUUUUGCAGAAAAUAGUCUCCGCUUCUAAAAACUUCUAUGUCUAGUCUUCCAUAGGAAAUCCUCACUGUUUAACCGUGUGAGGAGCCUAAGUCAUUAAACGGAUCAUGUCUGUAUAUUGUGUAAUGAAUGAAAAGCACAUAAAUGUAAUCUACUUUGAACUUUGUAAAAAUUAUGUGUGGAGGCUAUUCUUAUUUAUCCAUCUCAAGUCCUGUGUGUGCACAUGUGCGCAAGUGCACAUACGUGUAUGUAUGUGUGUAUAAUAACACAUUGUAAUGUAAAGAACAGAAAUUACUUUAAAAAAUAAACAGAAAUGGAGACCUGAGC
Molecule: long non-coding RNA, 2106 nt
Organism: Rhinopithecus bieti (black snub-nosed monkey)
Lineage: Eukaryota; Metazoa; Chordata; Mammalia; Primates; Cercopithecidae
Source: Ensembl